GCAAAGGAUAGAGCCCUGGAUUUUGAAGAAAGAGGAAACAACAGCUAAGUAUCCAGGCAAAGAUUACACCAGUUUGAUUGAAAAUAGACAUGGCCAUGGUUUGUACCGGGAAUUUGCAAGACAGGGACAGACUUUAGACUGA
RNAcentral lists this long non-coding RNA (142 nucleotides) under Microcebus murinus (gray mouse lemur). RNAcentral describes it as "lncRNA (ENSMICG00000048245.1)". The record is from RNAcentral. Lineage: Eukaryota; Metazoa; Chordata; Mammalia; Primates; Cheirogaleidae.